UGCCAGCCGCCGCGGUAAUACGGAGGGGGCGAGCGUUAUCUAGAAUAAUUGGGCGUAAAGGGUUUGUAGGCGGUAUUUAGCUGUUAAAUGUUAAAAAUUAAAGCUCAACUUUAAAAAUGCAUUUAAAACGUUUAUACUGGAGUGCGAAGCAGGAUAAUGGAAUUUUACAAGGAGGGGUGAAAUCCGUAGAACUGUAAAGGAACGUCGAAAGCGAAGGCAGUUGUCUAGGUCGUUACUGACGCUGAGGAACGAAAGCGUGGGUAUCAAACAGGAUUAGAUA
RNAcentral lists this ribosomal RNA (280 nucleotides) under uncultured bacterium. RNAcentral's name for it is "partial 16S ribosomal RNA". It matches the Rfam family "Bacterial small subunit ribosomal RNA", at positions 506 to 784 of the family's 1533-position model. The record is from RNAcentral.